Molecule: ribosomal RNA, 671 nt
Filed under: uncultured Pseudomonadota bacterium
Lineage: Bacteria; Pseudomonadati; Pseudomonadota
Description: bacterial SSU rRNA
Rfam family: Bacterial small subunit ribosomal RNA
Source: RNAcentral
UCGAACGGUAACAGGAAGCAGCUUGCUGCUUCGCUGACGAGUGGCGGACGGGUGAGUAAUGUCUGGGAAACUGCCUGAUGGAGGGGGAUAACUACUGGAAACGGUAGCUAAUACCGCAUAAUGUCGCAAGACCAAAGAGGGGGACCUUCGGGCCUCUUGCCAUCGGAUGUGCCCAGAUGGGAUUAGCUAGUAGGUGGGGUAACGGCUCACCUAGGCGACGAUCCCUAGCUGGUCUGAGAGGAUGACCAGCCACACUGGAACUGAGACACGGUCCAGACUCCUACGGGAGGCAGCAGUGGGGAAUAUUGCACAAUGGGCGCAAGCCUGAUGCAGCCAUGCCGCGUGUAUGAAGAAGGCCUUCGGGUCGUAAAGUACUUUCAGCGGGGAGGAAGGCGGUGAGGUUAAUAACCUCAUCGAUUGACGUUACCCGCAGAAGAAGCACCGGCUAACUCCGUGCCAGCGGCCGCGGUAAUACGGAGGGUGCAAGCGUUAAUCGGAAUUACUGGGCGUAAAGCGCACGCAGGCGGUCUGUCAAGUCGGAUGUGAAAUCCCCGGGCUCAACCUGGGAACUGCAUUCGAAACUGGCAGGCUAGAGUCUUGUAGAGGGGGGUAGAAUUCCAGGUGUAGCGGUGAAAUGCGUAGAGAUCUGGAGGAAUACCGGUGGCGAAGGC